RNAcentral lists this ribosomal RNA (465 nucleotides) under Vreelandella stevensii. RNAcentral's name for it is "partial 16S ribosomal RNA". It matches the Rfam family "Bacterial small subunit ribosomal RNA", at positions 338 to 795 of the family's 1533-position model. Lineage: Bacteria; Pseudomonadati; Pseudomonadota; Gammaproteobacteria; Oceanospirillales; Halomonadaceae. The record is from RNAcentral.
CCUACGGGGGGCUGCAGUGGGGAAUAUUGGACAAUGGGGGGAACCCUGAUCCAGCCAUGUCGCGUGUGUGAAGAAGGCCCUCGGGUUGUAAAGCACUUUCAGUGAGGAAGAACGCCUGGUGGUUAAUACCCAUCAGGAAAGACAUCACUCACAGAAGAAGCACCGGCUAACUCCGUGCCAGCAGCCGCGGUAAUACGGAGGGUGCGAGCGUUAAUCGGAAUUACUGGGCGUAAAGCGCGCGUAGGUGGCUUGAUAAGCCGGUUGUGAAAGCCCCGGGCUCAACCUGGGAACGGCAUCCGGAACUGUCAAGCUAGAGUGCAGGAGAGGAAGGUAGAAUUCCCGGUGUAGCGGUGAAAUGCGUAGAGAUCGGGAGGAAUACCAGUGGCGAAGGCGGCCUUCUGGACUGACACUGACACUGAGGUGCGAAAGCGUGGGUAGCAAACAGGAUUAGAUACCCCUGUAGUC